Gastrolobium bilobum is the source of this 1008-nucleotide long non-coding RNA. RefSeq lists it as uncharacterized. The transcript has 4 exons. The record is from RefSeq and is a predicted model, not a curated record. Lineage: Eukaryota; Viridiplantae; Streptophyta; Magnoliopsida; Fabales; Fabaceae.
UCAUGCGCUAACUAGGAGUAGGCAGGUCUGAGUUUGUGGAUCUUGAUAUUCAGAACUCUAUUACAUUACCUUUUCCCCCACAAGAUCGCAACCUCUAGAGAGAAGAAUCCUCCACCUAGCUCACGACUUCUUCCAUCUUCCUCAUACACUCGGCUGAACAUAAGGCAACAAAGUCUGCAUGUUCCUUCCGUUCCCUCUUUUUCCCACAAGUCACAUGUUCUUGGAAAGGAAACAUGAGAACCUAAGCACACACAUCUUCCAUUCCCUUCCCUGCAUGGUUCGGCUGAGUGGCAGCAGCCAAGGAGAGCGCAAUAUGAGUUCAUCCUUCCUACUUUUCUUGUUCGGUCGUGUGCUUCCAUGCAAAGAGGUGUAGAAAUUUCCUACUCCCUUGAUCAUCUUUUCCCUUUUCGAUUUGAUGAGGAGAGUCAAUGGCAUGCAUAUUACUUCUUUUGGUUCUUAAUGGAACUCCUCUGCAUGCAGCUGCAAACAUGACUUCUGUCAAGGAAGACCAUCAUCUUUAAAAUUCGGACCUACCUUCCAUUGCAUGCAAGAACAAUGGGAAGGUGAGGGUGCUGCCCCUCUUGUGGUUGAUGCGCAUGACUGAUUUGGGGAGCAGACUGGGAACAUAAGAAAGGUGUGCUAACCUCUAAAAGAAUGGGCUGAUUGGUGAUGUUUUGAUUUAAAAAGGGUUAAAGACUCGAGGAGGACUUAGAAGCAUAUGAUGAAAUGUUUGUUUAGACGCAUUCUGUUUGUCUGCUGCUGUCUUGAGAAUUCUGCUAUUGUACACUAUUGUUGUUGACUGCUGGCUAUAUAUUCCUAGUCAAUGUGAUAUUUUGAGAAACUGGAAAACGUUGGAAAAUAAUCUUAUUUUGCUGCACUUUGGAAUUUUUACAUUUUGUAUUAACUGAUGUAAUCCUGGUACUUAAUUUGCGAAAAUAAUUGCUGUCGUAAUUGGAUUUGGACUUUUGAACUGUUUUGCGAGCACUUUGCGAGUUGUCGUUCUGGGGC